ACUUAAAAUUUUUUUUUAAGGCUUUAUAAACAUAAUGUAGCUUCAUCUAAUAGCCCAGUUUGCAGCCAGGCUGAGAGCACUUGAUUUUUCUUGUUCUUU
Long non-coding RNA from Melanotaenia boesemani (Boeseman's rainbowfish), 99 nucleotides. RefSeq lists it as uncharacterized. Lineage: Eukaryota; Metazoa; Chordata; Actinopteri; Atheriniformes; Melanotaeniidae. The transcript is spliced from 3 exons. The record is from RefSeq and is a predicted model, not a curated record.